Molecule: long non-coding RNA, 1791 nt
Filed under: Pelobates cultripes (western spadefoot toad)
Lineage: Eukaryota; Metazoa; Chordata; Amphibia; Anura; Pelobatidae
Source: RNAcentral
ACUCACUCCAAACACUCCACACAGUUACUCUGCCCAGUCCAACCUUUCCACAGUUACUAAAGCCACUCCAACCAUCUAAACUACUUCAAAUUGGAACAUGGACACAGCGUAAAACUUCAAAGUUAGAAAAAAACUGAAUGGCUGCGUGUCAAAUGUGCCCCUUCAACAUCCACAUAUACCUGGCAAAGGUACAUACGGGGGUAUUGCUGUACUCAGACCACAUAGCUGAGCAACAUAUGAAGUAUUGUACAGUCGUAGCACAAAUAAGGUUUGCAAAAUAUACUGUGCAAACUCACUUUGUGUGUCAAAAAGGCAGAAAAAACGCUUAUUACCACUAAACUUGGUACAAGCUAGCAGAAAAAUGAUCCCACGCUAAGAUUCAAAAUAUGCCUUUUGAAAUACCCUGGGAUGUCUUCUUUAAGAAAUGGUAUGGCUUUAUGGGGUAUUUGGAUUAUAUAGCCUGGUGAAAUACUCUAAAUUUUUACGCUGUGCUCAUGUCCCAUUUUAAAGUUUGAAAAAAACUGGAAUUGCUGUGUCCCAAAUGUGCCCCUCUGAUGUCCACAUAAACCUGGCAAAAGUACAUACGGGGAUAUUGCUGUACUCAGCCAACAUAGCUGAGCAACAUAUGAAGUAUUAUACAGUCGUAGCACACAUAAGGCUUGCAAAAUAUACUGUGCAAACUCCCUUUGUGUGUCAAAAAGGCAGAAAAAAUGCUUAUUACCACCACAAUUGGUACAAGCUAGCAGAAAAAUGAUCCCACGCUAAGGUUCAAAAUAUACCUUUUGAAAUACCCUAGGGUGUCUACUUUAAGAAAUGGUAGGUCUUUGUGGGGUAGUUUGAAUUUAAAACCUGCAAAGAUGCUUGGAAAUUGCACAUAGGCCCAGCGACAAAAUUCAAAGUUCGGUAAAAACUGAUAUGGCUUGGUCUCCUACAUGGCACUGUAGCUUCACGAAAUAGUGUCAAAGACAUUCACUGGGGGUGUCUUUUUACUCAGAAAACUUAGCUGAGCAUAAUUUGGGGGGUUUGAACUUAGUGGCACAUAUGAAAUAGACAAAAUGCCCAGCAAAAAUGCAAUCCGUAUGUAAAAAAUUAUUUUUUACCACAUACUUUGGCAUAUAUUGGUAAAAAAAUGGGGGCCUGUUAAGGCACAAUAUGUACCUUAUGAGAUACCCUGGAGUGUCUACUUUUACAAAUGGUAGGCCUUUGUGGUUUUUUUUUGAACAGUCAAACUACUAUAAUACCCCAAAUGGAAGCAACGGCUCAUUAAAUCCGUCUCUCAAAAUUCUACUGUGAAUACUGAAAAGGACAGGUAUCCUAUAUGGCACUGUAACUUCACGAAAUAGUGCCAAAGACAUACAAUGGGGGUGUCAUUUUACUCAGCAGAUGUAACUGAACACUAAAUAAAACUUUGUACAGGAAUAGCACACACCAACUUUACAAAAUACACAUGAGAAUUUCUUUGUUAUAAGUUUGUGUGCCAAAAACCCCAAAAUUUUACUUCAAUAUUUAGCAGAGAAUGGCGGUGAAAUGGCUACGUAGAAAGUGUCAAAACAACCUUAGGUAAAUAGCCUGUGAUAUCUACUUUAUAUAAAUAUAUACUUUUGUUUUCUUUUAUGGCUAUUAAGCUUACAAGACAAACAUACCAAAUUCUAAAAUCGCUCUACAUUAAAAGUUUAUUUUACUCCUUGUGCUUUGUGACCUGUAACUACCAAAAAAACCUUAAAAUCCCAGACACAUUAUAUAUUCUGUAAAUCAGAACAACUAAAUGAAUUUAUUUUUAAUUACUUUUCU